RNAcentral lists this ribosomal RNA (490 nucleotides) under uncultured bacterium. RNAcentral describes it as "partial 16S ribosomal RNA". It matches the Rfam family "Bacterial small subunit ribosomal RNA", at positions 30 to 507 of the family's 1533-position model. The record is from RNAcentral.
AUUGAACGCUGGCGGCAGGCCUAACACAUGCAAGUCGAACGGUAACAGGAAGAAGCUUGCUUCUUUGCUGACGAGUGGCGGACGGGUGAGUCAUGUCUGGGAAACUGCCUGAUGGAGGGGGAUAACUACUGGAAACGGUAGCUAAUACCGCAUAACGUCGCAAGACCAAAGAGGGGGACCUUCGGGCCUCUUGCCAUCGGAUGUGCCCAGAUGGGAUUAGCUAGUAGGUGGGGUAACGGCUCACCUAGGCGACGAUCCCUAGCUGGUCUGAGAGGAUGACCGGCCACACUGGAACUGAGACACGGUCCAGACUCCUACGGGAGGCAGCAGUGGGGAAUAUUGCACAAUGGGCGCAAGCCUGAUGCAGCCAUGCCGCGUGUAUGAAGAAGGCCUUCGGGUUGUAAAGUACUUUCAGCGGGGAGGAAGGGAGUAAAGUUAAUACCUGUGCUCAUUGACGUUACCCGCAGAAGAAGCACCGGCUAACUCCGUG